UACAGAGGGUGCAAGCGUUGUUCGGAAUUAUUGGGCGUAAAGAGCUCGUAGGCGGUUUGUCGCGUCGGCCGUGAAAUCUCCACGCUUAACGUGGAGCGUGCGGUCGAUACGGGCAGACUUGAGUUCGGUAGGGGAGACUGGAAUUCCUGGUGUAGCGGUGAAAUGCGCAGAUAUCAGGAGGAACACCGGUGGCGAAGGCGGGUCUCUGGGCCGAUACUGACGCUGAGGAGCGAAAGCGUGGGGAGCGAACAGG
Molecule: ribosomal RNA, 253 nt
Filed under: uncultured bacterium
Lineage: Bacteria
Description: partial 16S ribosomal RNA
Rfam family: Bacterial small subunit ribosomal RNA
Source: RNAcentral